AAAAGGUGAGAUUACCAUAAACCAACUAGGAUAAAUCAAACCUAUGGCUAAUGUAUGAAAACUUAUCAAGAAUGGACAAAGCCACAAAACAAUUGAAUGAGUUGGAUUAACCAAUUAAGAUUUAUUCACAAAAGAUGGUCAAGGUAUGAUUAGAAUUCAAUUCAAAGAAGUAUUAUGAAAUGGAGUUUUGAAAAAUCAAAGGCCUAAAGCCUAGGUUUCUAAUUUGAAAAGAGAUGAGAAUGUUUGCACAAUAUUUUUGGUUUUGGGUUAAC
This 272-nucleotide long non-coding RNA is filed under the name Lathyrus oleraceus (garden pea). RNAcentral's name for it is "Pisum sativum (pea) long non-coding RNA (PSAT_LNC030487)". The record is from RNAcentral. Lineage: Eukaryota; Viridiplantae; Streptophyta; Magnoliopsida; Fabales; Fabaceae.